RNAcentral lists this ribosomal RNA (497 nucleotides) under uncultured bacterium. Its description in RNAcentral is "partial 16S ribosomal RNA". It matches the Rfam family "Bacterial small subunit ribosomal RNA", at positions 28 to 507 of the family's 1533-position model. The record is from RNAcentral.
GAUGAACGCUGGCGGCGUGCCUAAUACAUGCAAGUCGAGCGAACGGACGAGAAGCUUGCUUCUCUGAUGUUAGCGGCGGACGGGUGAGUAACACGUGGAUAACCUACCUAUAAGACUGGGAUAACUUCGGGAAACCGGAGCUAAUACCGGAUAAUAUUUUGAACCGCAUGGUUCAAAAGUGAAAGACGGUCUUGCUGUCACUUAUAGAUGGAUCCGCGCUGCAUUAGCUAGUUGGUAAGGUAACGGCUUACCAAGGCAACGAUGCAUAGCCGACCUGAGAGGGUGAUCGCCCACACUGGAACGGAGCCACGGUCCAGACUCCUACGGGAGGCAGCAGUAGGGAAUGUUACGCAAUGGGCGAAAGCCUGACGGAGCAACGCCGCGUGAGUGAUGAAGGUCUUCGGAUCGUAAAACUCUGUUAUUAGGGAAGAACAUAUGUGUCAGUAACUGUGCACAUCUUGACGGUACCUAAUCAGAAAGCCACGGCUAACUACGUG